Bubalus bubalis (water buffalo) is the source of this 73-nucleotide non-coding RNA. Lineage: Eukaryota; Metazoa; Chordata; Mammalia; Artiodactyla; Bovidae. The record is from the annotation of a RefSeq genome assembly.
UCCCUGGUAGUCCAGUGGUUAGGACUCAGAACUUUCACUGAUGAUGACCUGGGUUCGAUCCCUGGCUAGGGAA